This is a long non-coding RNA of Phymastichus coffea, 1546 nucleotides long. RefSeq lists it as uncharacterized. Lineage: Eukaryota; Metazoa; Arthropoda; Insecta; Hymenoptera; Eulophidae. The transcript has 3 exons. The record is from RefSeq and is a predicted model, not a curated record.
GAUGCCGCUUGCCCUGCUCGCCAUUCAACAUCAGUCAACGCGUUCUCAAACCAAUCUCGUUAUUUCAACAACCAGUUACCGGAUUUUUUAUGGUUCAAGGAAAAUCCAGCACUUCGUGGGCUCCGCUGGAAUGCAAAUCGCUCGAUGUAUUCGUCUGAAUUCCUUUUUUUUCUAGGAAUCUCGUGCCAAUGCUCGCAAUUCAUAGUGGGCGCUACAGGUCGAAAGACGGAACGAGACCGGUACGAGCAUUCGGAUAACGACCAACGUCCAAAACUCGAAAACAGCUCGAAAGCAGCUGAAGCAGCUGUCGAGAUGGCAAGGAAAUGCGUACGUGCUAGAGGAUAAAGUGCAACCAAACUGUCCAAGAGGAAAAUCAAAAUCAAGCAAUGUUUUGUAAAAUCAUCGCUCCGCGAGGUCUCACUGUGUUGGAAGCCUAGAAGAGCGUUGACUCAAACGCGAGGCGGGGGCUUGAGCAAUAAUCCUCACGGCAAAAGUGCGAUGAUCUACAAGAAAACUCAUUCGAGCGGACAAUAGACGCGAUAUCGUCGCGUCUACACGGAAAGCAAGAAACAGCAGCAGCAGCAGCAGCAGCAGCAGCAGCAGCAGCAGCAGCAGCAGCAGCAGCAGCAGCAGCAGGCCGUUGACUCGCGAAUUGAGUAACGCAAUUUUCUGCGUCGUACAACGGAGCGUUUACAUACACAGGCAGACGCGAAUAACGGAGCACGAGAGAGAGAGAGAGAGAGAGAGAGAGAGAGAGAAACGAAGAGAGCAAAGAGAAGGAUGAAACCAGGCUACGACCUUGGCCUUCGUUUCCAAGUGGCGCGCGCGUACGAUCGUGCUCAUAAUACACUCUCAACGACUGUCGCCCGAAGCCUAAUGACUGCGCGUACGUAUGUAGUACCGGCCCCCGCGAACAUGUAUGUGAACUUUCGGACUUUUCUCGAACCAAUUGCACUCGUCUUUUAUUGCUUAGCUUUGCGAGCCCACUUCCGAUGCUCUUGAUCGCUUAAUUUUCUCCGACAUACCAAUUUUAUUUAUGAUUUGUAUUUACAUUAUCGAACAUUCGUAUGAACUGCGAAAGACUACGGAGCAAGCAUUCGCGCGAAAGUCUAUUUAUAGAGAACUAGUUACUGCUUGAAUCAUUGUGCACCGAUUCUCACUGAAUUUAUUUUCAAUUAAUCUCAUCGUUAACAACCGAAUACAAUAAAAAUUAUAUUGUUUCUCUGAAUUUGGAGUUGAGCCAAAAAAAAAUAUUUAAUCGACGAUUCAACAACAGCUAAAAUUACGCACCUCGUCAGUGGAUAACUUGUCUUUAUAUUAUACAAUAUUCAUAACUAUAAAAAGAGUCGUUCCAUUUAUAUAAUGGUCGAUUCAGUGAGAAUCAGUUUAACGUAGUACGCAUCAAUGAUUCAAAGCGAAACAGCAACAACGAAGAAAGAAUGACGAUGACGCGUGAAGCUGCACGUGAUGUAACGGGAUUCGCAUCAUUACACGCCAUGAAAAUCGGAUACAAAUGUACUCGUGGGACAAUUCGAUUUUCCCCUUG